UGUUCAUCACCACUGCCAUUAAUACUGC
Molecule: small RNA, 28 nt
Filed under: Bombyx mori (domestic silkworm)
Lineage: Eukaryota; Metazoa; Arthropoda; Insecta; Lepidoptera; Bombycidae
Description: piRNA piR-bmo-2093860
Source: RNAcentral